AGCGAACGCUGGCGGCAGGCCUAACACAUGCAAGUCGAACGGACCCUUCGGGGUUAGUGGCGGACGGGUGAGUAACACGUGGGAACGUGCCUUUAGGUUCGGAAUAGCUCCUGGAAACGGGUGGUAAUGCCGAAUGUGCCCUUCGGGGGAAAGAUUUAUCGCCUUUAGAGCGGCCCGCGUCUGAUUAGCUAGUUGGUGAGGUAACGGCUCACCAAGGCGACGAUCAGUAGCUGGUCUGAGAGGAUGACCAGCCACACUGGGACUGAGACACGGCCCAGACUCCUACGGGAGGCAGCAGUUGGGAAUCUUGCGCAAUGGGCGAAAGCCUGACGCAGCCAUGCCGCGUGAAUGAUGAAGGUCUUAGGAUUGUAAAAUUCUUUCACCGGGGACGAUAAUGACGGUACCCGGAGAAGAAGCCCCGGCUAACUUCGUG
RNAcentral lists this ribosomal RNA (433 nucleotides) under uncultured bacterium. Its description in RNAcentral is "partial 16S ribosomal RNA". It matches the Rfam family "Bacterial small subunit ribosomal RNA", at positions 29 to 507 of the family's 1533-position model. The record is from RNAcentral.